AAGAACCUUACCAGGUCUUGACAUCUUUUGAUCACCUGAGAGAUCAGGUUUCCCUUCGGGGGCAAAAUGACAGGUGGUACAUGGUUGUCGUCAGCUCGUGUCGUGAGAUGUUGGGUUAAGUCCCGCAACGAGCGCAACCCUUAUGACUAGUUGUCAGCAUUUAGUUGGGCACUCUAGUAAGACUGCCGGUGACAAACCGGAGGAAGGUGGGGAUGACGUCAAAUCAUCAUGCCCCUUAUGACCUGGGCUACACACGUGCUACAAUGGAUGGUACAACGAGUUGCGAGACCGCGAGGUCAAGCUAAUCUCUUAAAGCCAUUCUCAGUUCGGACUGUAGGCUGCAACUCGCCUACACGAAGUCGGAAUCGCUAGUAAUCGCGGAUCAGCACGCCGCGGUGAAUACGUUCCCGGGUCUUGUACACACCGCCU
This 429-nucleotide ribosomal RNA is filed under the name uncultured bacterium. Its description in RNAcentral is "bacterial SSU rRNA". It matches the Rfam family "Bacterial small subunit ribosomal RNA", at positions 964 to 1395 of the family's 1533-position model. The record is from RNAcentral.